Fukomys damarensis (Damara mole-rat) is the source of this 134-nucleotide small nucleolar RNA. NCBI's taxonomy places the organism in Eukaryota, Metazoa, Chordata, Mammalia, Rodentia, Bathyergidae. The record is from Ensembl.
AGUCUCAUUCUAGAUUAGAAUGGGCACUAUUGAUUGAUGUCCCAAAUUGGUCAAUGUGGCUAAAACUGAGACACAGGUCACGCUUCCAUAAUAGUAAAUGUACUGCAGAGGUGACAGUGAGACCCAUAAUGUUU